Abrus precatorius (Indian licorice) is the source of this 107-nucleotide small nucleolar RNA. NCBI's taxonomy places the organism in Eukaryota, Viridiplantae, Streptophyta, Magnoliopsida, Fabales, Fabaceae. The record is from RefSeq and is a predicted model, not a curated record.
AAAUCAUGGUGCGGGCAUCUUCUCAAUAAUUCCCCAAAUCGCUCCCACGUCUCGAACAAUUAUUCUGACUCAUUCUGCUGAAAGCAACAUAUUUCUGUCAUCAACUU